GCCACCUUAGCUCAGCUGGUAGAGCUCCCGCCUUGUAAGCGGACGGUCAAGGGUUCGAGUCCCUUAGGUGGCUCCG
This 76-nucleotide transfer RNA is filed under the name Actinomyces sp. RNAcentral describes it as "tRNA-Thr". It matches the Rfam family "tRNA". From Rfam's summary of the family: Transfer RNA (tRNA) molecules are approximately 80 nucleotides in length. The record is from RNAcentral. RNAcentral also lists the same sequence under 1 other name. Lineage: Bacteria; Bacillati; Actinomycetota; Actinomycetes; Actinomycetales; Actinomycetaceae.